CCUACGGGAGGCAGCAGUGGGGAAUUUUGGACAAUGGGCGCAAGUCUGAUCCAGCAAUGCCGCGUGAGUGAAGAAGGCCUUCGGGUUGUAAAGCUCUUUUGUCAGGGAAGAAACGGUGGGAGCUAAUAUCUCUUACUAAUGACGGUACCUGAAGAAUAAGCACCGGCUAACUACGUGCCAGCAGCCGCGGUAAUACGUAGGGUGCAAGCGUUAAUCGGAAUUACUGGGCGUAAAGCGUGCGCAGGCGGUUUUGUAAGUCUGUCGUGAAAGCCCCGGGCUCAACCUGGGAAUUGCGAUGGAGACUGCAAGGCUUGAAUCUGGCAGAGGGGGGUAGAAUUCCACGUGUAGCAGUGAAAUGCGUAGAGAUGUGGAGGAACACCGAUGGCGAAGGCAGCCCCCUGGGUCAAGAUUGACGCUCAUGCACGAAAGCGUGGGGAGCAAACAGGAUUAGAUACCCUGGUAGUCCACGCCCUAAACGAUGUCUACUAGUUGUCGGGUUUUAAUUAACUUGGUAACGCAGCUAACGCGUGAAGUAGACCGCCUGGGGAUACGGUCGCAAGAUUAAAACUCAAAGAGUAGUAGCGUGAGAGUGCGACGAGACACAGGAGGUUAGG
Molecule: ribosomal RNA, 614 nt
Filed under: uncultured bacterium
Lineage: Bacteria
Description: bacterial SSU rRNA
Rfam family: Bacterial small subunit ribosomal RNA
Source: RNAcentral